RNAcentral lists this transfer RNA (70 nucleotides) under Triturus marmoratus (marbled newt). RNAcentral describes it as "tRNA-Met". It matches the Rfam family "tRNA". Rfam says of the family: Transfer RNA (tRNA) molecules are approximately 80 nucleotides in length. Their secondary structure includes four short double-helical elements and three loops (D, anti-codon, and T loops). Further hydrogen bonds mediate the characteristic L-shaped molecular structure. tRNAs have two regions of fundamental functional importance: the anti-codon, which is responsible for specific mRNA codon recognition, and the 3' end, to which the tRNAs corresponding amino acid is attached (by aminoacyl-tRNA synthetases). tRNAs cope with the degeneracy of the genetic code in two manners: having more than one tRNA (with a specific anti-codon) for a particular amino acid; and 'wobble' base-pairing, i.e. permitting non-standard base-pairing at the 3rd anti-codon position. The record is from RNAcentral. Lineage: Eukaryota; Metazoa; Chordata; Amphibia; Caudata; Salamandridae. RNAcentral also lists the same sequence under 1 other name.
AGUAAAAUAAGCUAAACUAAGCUUUUGGGCCCAUACCCCAAAUAUGUUGGUGAAAACCCUUCUUUUACUA